AUUGAACGCUGGCGGCAGGCCUAACACAUGCAAGUCGAACGGUAACAGGGAUCAGCUUGCUGAUUCGCUGACGAGUGGCGGACGGGUGAGUAAUGUCUGGGAAACUGCCUGAUGGAGGGGGAUAACUACUGGAAACGGUAGCUAAUACCGCAUAACGUCGCAAGACCAAAGAGGGGGACCUUCGGGCCUCUUGCCAUCGGAUGUGCCCAGAUGGGAUUAGCUAGUAGGUGGGGUAACGGCUCACCUAGGCGACGAUCCCUAGCUGGUCUGAGAGGAUGACCAGCCACACUGGAACUGAGACACGGUCCAGACUCCUACGGGAGGCAGCAGUGGGGAAUAUUGCACAAUGGGCGCAAGCCUGAUGCAGCCAUGCCGGGGGUAUGAAGAAGGCCUUCGGGUUGUAAAGUACUUUCAGCGGGGAGGAAGGGAGUAAAGUUAAUACCUUUGCUCAUUGACGUUACCCGCAGAAGAAGCACCGGCUAACUCCGUGC
RNAcentral lists this ribosomal RNA (491 nucleotides) under uncultured bacterium. RNAcentral's name for it is "partial 16S ribosomal RNA". It matches the Rfam family "Bacterial small subunit ribosomal RNA", at positions 30 to 508 of the family's 1533-position model. The record is from RNAcentral.